UACGGGGGGGGCAAGCGUUGUUCGGAAUUACUGGGCGUAAAGGGCUCGUAGGCGGCCAUCUAAGUCAGACGUGAAAUCCCUCGGCUUAACCGGGGAACUGCGUCUGAUACUGGAUGGCUUGAGUCUGGGAGAGGGAUGCGGAAUUCCAGGUGUAGCGGUGAAAUGCGUAGAUAUCUGGAGGAACACCCGUGGCGAAGGCGGCUUCCUGGGACGGUACUGACGCUGAGACGCGAAAGCGUGGGGAGCAAACGGG
RNAcentral lists this ribosomal RNA (253 nucleotides) under uncultured bacterium. RNAcentral describes it as "partial 16S ribosomal RNA". It matches the Rfam family "Bacterial small subunit ribosomal RNA", at positions 524 to 776 of the family's 1533-position model. The record is from RNAcentral.